AUUGAACGCUGGCGGCAGGCUUAACACAUGCAAGUCGAACGGUAACAGGAAGCAGCUUGCUGCUUCGCUGACGAGUGGCGGACGGGUGAGUAAUGUCUGGGAAGCUGCCUGAUGGAGGGGGAUAACUACUGGAAACGGUAGCUAAUACCGCAUAAUGUCGCAAGACCAAAGAGGGGGACCUUCGGGCCUCUUGCCCUCGGAUGUGCCCAGAUGGGAUUAGCUUGGUGGUGGGGUAACGGCUCACCAAGGCGACGAUCCCUAGCUGGUCUGAGAGGAUGACCAGCCACACUGGAACUGAGACACGGUCCAGACUCCUACGGGAGGCAGCAGUGGGGAAUAUUGCACAAUGGGCGCAAGCCUGAUGCAGCCAUGCCGCGUGUAUGAAGAAGGCCUUCGGGUUGUAAAGUACUUUCAGCGGGGAGGAAGGGAGUAAAGUUAAUACCUUUGCUCAUUGACGUUACCCGCAGAAGAAGCACCGGCUAACUCCGUG
Molecule: ribosomal RNA, 490 nt
Filed under: uncultured bacterium
Lineage: Bacteria
Description: partial 16S ribosomal RNA
Rfam family: Bacterial small subunit ribosomal RNA
Source: RNAcentral